GUCAGUUUCUGCCCAAGUUCAAAAUGGAGGCCAUGCACUGACUCCUCCCAAAGGACCCUUCCAAGGAGCCCAGAUCACAAAGCUGUAAGAUUUAUGAAGGAAAGAAGAAAGAAAAAAGUGCUUGUCCAGGAAGGAAAUGCGUUCCUGCUUGGCUUCUCACAGGGACACAGGACUCAGAAACCGCUGCUUCCUGGACCGGACUGUCCACUGUCACUAUCAUCCAUGACAUUCAACAUGGGAGCCACAAAGUGAUCGAAAAUGCAAAGUGCAGCUCUAGCUGUUCCUGCCAGAGAGCCGGAGGGAGCCGGUGUCACACCUACAGCGAACGAGGACCCUGUGGCGCCGGGAGGUCGCCGCGCUCCCAGCCUCGAGGCCCACAGGUUUGCUUGGCUUUACUCAGAAAGUGCUGGGGUUUUUUUCUUUU
Molecule: long non-coding RNA, 424 nt
Organism: Lepus europaeus (European hare)
Lineage: Eukaryota; Metazoa; Chordata; Mammalia; Lagomorpha; Leporidae
Exons: 4
Source: RefSeq, a predicted model, not a curated record